AUGGUCAUCACUCUAUGGUUGAUCUGGUACGCUCAUCGGAAGGCUAUAUAUGAAUCAAUUUUCCAAAGCCCACAGCAAACUGUCAACUUUGUUAACAACUAUAUCAGCGAUCUCGGCCUUAUUACCGCACAGGAGUAUCAUCCAGCUCCUACAUCACCCGCCCAAGAAAGGCCAUUGCGAUGGCUUCGACCGCCGGCUGGCAACGUUAAGAUCAACGUAGAUGGGGCGCUGGCAAGGCGAAGCAGAGGAGGAGCAGUAGCGGUUCUAUGCCGAGACCAGGACGGUGUCUACUUGGGAUCGGCGGCGGUGGUUUUUCACCACACGCGGGAUCCCCUUCUUCUGGAGACAUAUGCUUGUCAGGAGGCACUAGCACUCGCCGACGACCUUGGAGUAAGAAACAUCUAUGUGGCUUCGGAUUCCUAGGAGGUGGUUAACGACAUUAACAGGGGCACCGGAGGCCCAAAUGCAUCCAUUGUGCAUGAAAUACUGAGUCAUUGUAAUAAUUUUAGCUCUUGCUCUUUUGUUCAUGAGCGAAGGAACUUCAACUUCGAGACUCAUAAUCUCGCUAAAUAUGCUUGUAAGCUAGAUAUAGGACGUCAUGUUUGGUUGGGCACACUCAUGACCCAACAUCUGUACCUAUGA
Molecule: ribosomal RNA, 642 nt
Filed under: Triticum aestivum (bread wheat)
Lineage: Eukaryota; Viridiplantae; Streptophyta; Magnoliopsida; Poales; Poaceae
Description: partial small subunit ribosomal RNA
Source: RNAcentral